This 468-nucleotide ribosomal RNA is filed under the name uncultured bacterium. RNAcentral describes it as "partial 16S ribosomal RNA". It matches the Rfam family "Bacterial small subunit ribosomal RNA", at positions 28 to 507 of the family's 1533-position model. The record is from RNAcentral.
GACGAACGCUGGCGGCGUGCUUAACACAUGCAAGUCGAACGGAAAGGCCCUGCUUUUGUGGGGUGCUCGAGUGGCGAACGGGUGAGUAACACGUGAGUAACCUGCCCUUGACUUUGGGAUAACUUCAGGAAACUGGGGCUAAUACCGGAUAGGAGCUCCUGCUGCAUGGUGGGGGUUGGAAAGUUUCGGCGGUUGGGGAUGGACUCGCGGCUUACCAGCUUGUUGGUGGGGUAGUGGCUUACCAAGGCUUUGACGGGCAGCCGGCCUGAGAGGGUGACCGGCCACAUUGGGACUGAGAGACGGCCCAGACUGGUACGGGAGGCAGCAGUGGGGAAUAAUGCACAAUGGGCGCAAGCCUGAGGCAGCAGCGCCGCGUGCGGGAUGACGGCCUUCGGGUUGUAAACCGCUUUCGCCUGUGACGAAGCGUGAGUGACGGUAAUGGGUAAAGAAGCACCGGCUAACUACGUG